Saccostrea echinata is the source of this 1960-nucleotide long non-coding RNA. RefSeq lists it as uncharacterized. The record is from RefSeq and is a predicted model, not a curated record. NCBI's taxonomy places the organism in Eukaryota, Metazoa, Mollusca, Bivalvia, Ostreida, Ostreidae. The transcript has 2 exons.
CAUCUUGGACGCGUUAGGAGACGAUCAUCACAAAAACCUUUUAAUGAGCCUGCAAUGAUUGUUUUGUCAUCGUCAGACAUAUUUAUUGGUCCGUCUGUCCGGUUUCUCUUAUAAACUUACCUUUUAAUAUAUGGAUAUUACAGGCCCUGGUGAUAACACACGAAAUCUUUACCUGGGACUAGAGAUAACAUUCCCCGGUUGUUCACUUUCUAUGUUUCUACCCGUACAAGAUAACUAUUUUUGGUGAAUAUCGAGGAACUUACACAAGGUUCUAGAGAGAAAAAAGUUUUGGCGCCUUGGACAGUAAUACUUACCCAGAAGUACACAGUGUCAAGAUGUGACUGAAUCCUCUUUUGCUGUCUUCAAAACCAAGAAGUACGAGUUUUGAAUUUAUUCUUUGGAUUACUGUAUUUGUGUCUCUUGCUAGUAUUUGAAGUUUGUCAACAAAAAUGUCUUGGUUCAAAUUUUGGAAAAGCUCAAAAUCAAAAUCGAAGGACAUUAAAGAUGAAUAUCAAAAGGAACUUAAAAGAGCAGAAUCCCUAAGAGAAGAUUCCAAUUUAACGGAAGCGGAACGUGAAAAGCAAAAACUAAAGCACACUCUGUCAAUUUCCCGAUCUGGGAGAUUCAAGCAUAAAAAACGAGAACGAGGAGCGAUUCUGGAUAAACCGGAACUAUUUGAUAAAACAAUGGACAAUGGCAAUGGAGGAAGACCUACAGUGAAGCCACCGAAUCCUCCAUCCGGGCACUCACGAUCUCCAAACAACACAUGUCGAGAUGUUCGGGAUGUGUUUCAGUCUAACUAUACUUCCCAUGUGGCAGCGGUUUGAAAAUUAUCUCCCAACGUAGUACCAAAGUGUGCUUUUGCAAUAAUGAUUAAAUGCGUGCAUUGAUAAAAAAAUUAUAAAGGGCAAUAUUUAUAAAGAACAUUUAAGACAUUGUACUUAAAAAUCAUACUUUGCAGGGCUUGCUGCCAAAGAAGUGUCGUAGUGCUAUCCGAAAAUUUUCUGUCUCAGCUUGACAACAGUGCUGUUGUCCAAAGUGUACAGGACUUUUUUUUAUGUAGUCUUCUUUUUUACACCAAAAUCACGUUCGGAGUAGUUAAGAAAUUAUAUGUGAUUUGGACUUUGAGGAAAAAGUUUAGUGUUAAAGAAUGAUCCCAAUGACCUUUCAUAUAUUCAUUCAUAAAAUGUUUUUGUAUAUGUAUACCGUAUUCUAUUGUGAAACAUUUUGUUUCACGUUUCGUAAAAUUAAUUUUUUGUUACAUUGUAUGCCCAUUCUGACAUAGAAUUGAUUUUUGCUUUUUUUAUUGCAUUUUAUUUACCUUGAUUGUCAUUUCAAACCUUAUACAGCUUUUCUUUGAAGAAAAAAAUUCAACUUGAUUGAAAACAAUCUCCUUAUACAAGAUUUAAAGCUUUAGUUUGUCUGGUGCCAAUAACCCAAAGAAAUGAUUUUUCACUUUGAUUUCAUACACAAAAUGCCUUCUUUUGAUCCUUUAAAGGGAAUAUAAUCACCGAAUGCAAUUGUUCAAGAAAAUGAAAAAACCUUGAUUUUUAUCUCGUAUUUUCUGUCCGUUGCGACGAGACGUCUAUCUCGUGUUGUUUUCGAAGACAAUGGAGUUGGAAAAGUCCACUACAACAAAACAAUUCACCAGAACUCAAGUUCUAGAUGACUUUAGAUUGUCAUCUUAAUCACCAAUCGCUUAUAAAUUACAACUGUUUUUAAGGAGUCAAUGUACAAUAUCUCCCAUGCAUAAACAACUUGCUUUUUUACUAUAUAAGAAACUGGCUUAGUUAAAAUAUGCAACACGUGAUUUGAAAAGCGUAGUUUUCUUAUUGUAACAUGCGGGCGAUAUGAAUACAUUCUGUGUUGGAGAUGUUGGAUAAAUCCAUAAAAUUCUACUGUGAUUAUCUAUGUUUGUAAUGAAUAUGUUUUGUUUAACAUAAUAAAUACGACAAAAGCC